GUGGAGAUAGGACAGAGGUCUCAGAGCUGCCUGCCUUUCCCCCCCGAACCAGUGCUGCUUUCCCCGCAAGGAGCAAGGCUGCUUUGCCCAGCCUGCUCUGGGGUACUUUAUCCAGAGGUCUCCUCCCCGGCCCUGCACCCUCUGACCUUGGGCCCCAGGAACAGCCUUGGCAUCAGAGAAAAUCUAGUUUGGGACUGAGUGCAGACCUCGCCUCCUCAGAGAGGUCUGCCCUUGCCACCCUAGCUAAAGUUUCCUCUUGGACCUCCUCCACCCCUGCCCAACCCUCGCGCUCUCUGGUCAUUGCCUCUCCAUCAAGAGUUCCCCACUGGGGCUCCUGGCACCUAAUGGCCGUGGAGGAACCAAUGUGGUACCUCAGCCAUUUUCAAUGUUUCCAAUAACUUGGCAGAGACAGGACAUUAACUAGAUAACUAAUUGGAGUGCCUGGUUCAGCAUUGCCUCAAUGUUCUGUAGACCCUGUGUGUUCUCCAGAAAAGCGUUGUGGUCAACCACUCAUAGAAAACUCGGUUAAAGGGGACCUUCAAAGCCAGGCUUUCAAAGCCUUGCAUGUGCUAAUGUGCAUCAGUGGGAAAGUGAUGGUGAUAGAAUCCACUGUCUCCCCAGCAUGUUUGAUGGCAGAGCUCUUUUUAGCCCGGAAUAUCUAUGGAGCCAUGGCAUGAGGACCACUCCAUUCAUUGAAGUCUUAGCUUUUGGUUAGAGUCCAGUUAGGGUGACAACUGGUGGCUUCUUCAGUUCUAGCUGACAGGUAUGAAAGCCACUGAUGAAGGAACAAUGGAGAGGCAAAGUGUAGUCAGUACUGUUCAGUGGACAAAACCUAAAUGUGGACAUUAUUAAGAGAAAGACAUUAAAGGAUUCUGAGGUGAAAGGGCUGGGUCUUUGUCCUGAUUGGCUAUCGAGCCCAACCAUGUGUGACCAGGCACUGGCGGAUGGUGGGGGGCUCUCCAGUUGGUCCACACGGCCGUGCCAAGGGUGAUCUGGCCCUCCCUACUGCGUGUGCUGUGUGCUCGUUACCUAACCUGUAAAGUGAGGAUCGGAGCCUCCACCUAGUGAUCCGAGUGGCUGAGAAUCUAAGGAGAUGGCAGGUGUGUGCAAGCUUGGGAAGAGGUUGACGGCUGUGCAGAGCUGGGUAUCCAGGGGGCUGAGGGAAGCUUUCCUAGCAGCUGUCCUUUGGGUCAAGAGGCCCCCGCUAAACUUGCAGCUCAGUGUGGUGGGUGGUCUUGCUGACGGGCACCACCAUGGAGCUUGUGGGUUAGGCAGAAUCAUGGCCUCAGUCCUACUGAAUUAGAAUCCUCAUUUUAACAGGACCCUCUGGUGUCUCACAGGCACAUGGAAGUCUGGGAAACGCUGGUCUGCACUCUCCCUCUUCGGGACUCCUUUGUAUGAUCCUUGGUCCAUUUUCUGGGGUGAAACAGGAGCACUAACUACCCCCGGCACCCAUGUCCCUCUGCCAUCCCCACUCUCCUGCUGGAACUCUCCUCUGGCUCCCUGCUGCCUUCAGGAUCAAGUCCAAGCUUCUUGGCCUGGCACAACAGGCAUUUCUGCAGCUGGCCGUGAGCUGACCUUCUCCACACGCCCCCAUCUCCACCAUCUACAGCCACCAGGCCACUAGGUAUGUCCUAUCUCAUCACCUUUGCCCAAGCAACUUCUUCCACCUAAGAUGUCCUUCCCCUCAUCUUCCCCUCCCCAUCCAUUCAUUCCUCCUCCCACUUUAUGGUCAGUUGAAGGUCCUGCAUCUCUGAAGCCUGCCCCGGCUCCCACAGCAGAAGGUGGCUUCCAGAGUGUUGUGUGUCCUUCCACGCAGCUCUUAUUACCACACACUCCGGUCUGACCAGAGACUGGCACUGGGUAAGUACCCAUGAGGACUGGACAGCCGGGAGAGUGGACGGAAGGUAGGAGCGAAAGGCUGUCACCCUGGGGUGUCCUGGGCACUGUGAGAGAAGAGUUAGCCAGGCCUGCCAAGGCUGUGGCCGGCACGCAGAGCAGCCAAUAUCGGCUGACCUCUCACACACUCAUCACUGUAUUUUUCCCUUCAGCUUUACAAUCCCCAACACAACUCUAGGUGUCGCUGUCAACCAACUGAGGUGACGUGAGAGGGAACCUCUACCAUCUCUGGUCUAGCUUAGUCACAGUACCAACUUGGGUAGAAGCUCUAAGGAGGAGCAGUGCACUUGGGGGUAGCAGAAGGGGAUAGGUGUGCUCCUAGCUCUCUUUUUGUACCUCCAGAAACUGGCACUCAAUGUUUGCUUCGUUCACAGAAGACCUCUGCACCCUACCU
Myotis brandtii (Brandt's bat) is the source of this 2293-nucleotide long non-coding RNA. RefSeq lists it as uncharacterized. The transcript has 2 exons. NCBI's taxonomy places the organism in Eukaryota, Metazoa, Chordata, Mammalia, Chiroptera, Vespertilionidae. The record is from RefSeq and is a predicted model, not a curated record.